UCUACACAUUAAGUAACAACUCGCCAUUCCUCUUUCCUCCCUGCCCGCCCCAGCAAUUGCCCCUCAACUUUCUGUCUCUGUGAACCCGAUUAUUCUACGAUCCUCACCCUUGAGCUGCAUUGCAAAGGUCUCCAUAGUUUCCAGGCCCCAGGAAAGGGAGCACAAAGGCAGAAGAACAUUUACCUCUCCACGCUGUCACUGACUGAUGUCUCAUCUAGGACCUCCUCAAAGUGUUGUGCUCCCUCAGGCAAGGGGAUGCGAUGGCAGACCCUCAAAGGCACCAGGCCACCCUUUGCCCUCCACAACUCAGCGCUGACAUAUCAAUGGCUGCUGGACUGGCAUGGCCAGAAGGGAUGACAUUCACCAACUCUUGGGAAAUGUGUGACUCUUUUCUGAGACCAUCCUGUGCUCACCACUCUCAACCCACAACUUGUCUUGCACAGCAGAGCCGUUGGGGAUCCCCACCGUCCUGGCCAGGCCCACCCACUUGGCCCAGAAGGUGAUUCCCCAGGGAGAAAUAGUUUAUUAUCAACUGAACACUAACCUCAGAGGAAAAGUCUGAGUUCCAGGGAAGAAAUUCAUUUACUGCAAAGUAUGCAAAGAAAAACUGCAUAAUCAAAAUGAAUACAUGUUUAAUUAAAUGCCUUCAAAGCGACCCAUUAUGUCAACUUCAUUAAUUGGUAAAUUUAGUAUUUAUAAUAAUUUCAUUACAUUUGAAAAAUGAAUUGGAAGUAACAUUUGCCCAUUUGCAAUAAUUCUUGAGGAAAGCAUGGAGACUGCUAAGAAAUAACAUGUGUUCCUCAUAUCCUUAUUUUGAAAAGCGAUAUUAUCAAAGGGGGGCCUGGCUGGCUCAGUCGAUAGAGAUGCAACUCUUGAUCUUGGGGUCGUGAGUUUAAGCCCCAUGCUGGGUAUACAGAUUACUUAAAAAAAAAAAAAAAAGACCUGAUUAAAAGCAAAAUUGUUAAAACCAUCUAAAAAUAUUUUGUAAUAAAAAUAUAUGUGCACGAAUAUACGUGAGUAUGUAUCUAUGUGUUUGCAUAUAUACAUAAAUAUAUAACAGUCACUGAGGGCCGUGCUUAACGUUUCUGAUGCACUGUGAGGCCAGAGUCUUUAAGAGUAAGAAGGUCCAGCACUGCACAAGACCCCAAGUAGCUGUGCGCUCAGCCAGGACCCCCUUCUGUAAGCAUGAGAUAGGAGUCAUGCUGAGCCAAAAGGAAGUUCUUCUUGAAGAAUAAUUUCUAAAAUUAGUCCCUAGCAUGAGGGCAGGAUAUUAGUGGUCUGGGAACUGGGAGAAUCAGAGGCAGAAUUUAGAGAGCUGACAAGGGGAAACCCACCGCCUAACAGGUGUCUUCAAGGCUCCCCUGGCUUUCUAGAAAAACAUAAAAUUCUAUCAUUAGAGCCAAUGCCUUUAUUGGCCUAGAUCCCCUACUGAAGUGCUUUUUCUCUUCCUUAAAAACAAAGAGAAUAACAAAAGUGUAACAUAUAUGAUAAAGAGCACACAUCUUAAGAGUAUGGCCUAGGGCGCCUGGUGGCUCAGUAGAUUAAGCUUCUGACUCUUGAUUUCAGCUCAGGUCAUGAUGUUGCAGUUUGUGGGUUUGAGCCCCACAUUGGUCUCCAAGCUGACAGUGC
This is a long non-coding RNA of Prionailurus viverrinus (fishing cat), 1629 nucleotides long. RefSeq lists it as uncharacterized. NCBI's taxonomy places the organism in Eukaryota, Metazoa, Chordata, Mammalia, Carnivora, Felidae. The record is from RefSeq and is a predicted model, not a curated record. The transcript has 4 exons.